AGUGAACGCUGGCGGUAGGCCUAACACAUGCAAGUCGAACGGCAGCACAGUAAGAGCUUGCUCUUACGGGUGGCGAGUGGCGGACGGGUGAGGAAUACAUCGGAAUCUACUUUUUCGUGGGGGAUAACGUAGGGAAACUUACGCUAAUACCGCAUACGACCUACGGGUGAAAGCAGGGGAUCUUCGGACCUUGCGCGAUUGAAUGAGCCGAUGUCGGAUUAGCUAGUUGGCGGGGUAAAGGCCCACCAAGGCGACGAUCCGUAGCUGGUCUGAGAGGAUGAUCAGCCACACUGGGACUGGGACACGGUCCAGAAUUCUACGGGAGGCAGCAGUGGGGGAUAUUGGACAAUGGGGGCAAGCCUGAUCCAGCCAUACCGCGUGGGUGAAGAAGGCCUUCGGGUUGUAAAGCCCUUUUGUUGGGAAAGAAAAGCAGCAGGUUAAUACCCCGCUGUUCUGACGGUACCCAAAGAAUAAGCACCGGCUAACUUCGUGC
RNAcentral lists this ribosomal RNA (493 nucleotides) under uncultured bacterium. RNAcentral's name for it is "partial 16S ribosomal RNA". It matches the Rfam family "Bacterial small subunit ribosomal RNA", at positions 29 to 508 of the family's 1533-position model. The record is from RNAcentral.